This 526-nucleotide ribosomal RNA is filed under the name Staphylococcus epidermidis NIHLM001. Its description in RNAcentral is "bacterial LSU rRNA". It matches the Rfam family "Bacterial large subunit ribosomal RNA", at positions 2397 to 2925 of the family's 2925-position model. Lineage: Bacteria; Bacillati; Bacillota; Bacilli; Caryophanales; Staphylococcaceae. The record is from RNAcentral.
GGUCGAAAGACGGACUUAGUGAUCCGGUGGUUCCGCAUGGAAGGGCCAUCGCUCAACGGAUAAAAGCUACCCCGGGGAUAACAGGCUUAUCUCCCCCAAGAGUUCACAUCGACGGGGAGGUUUGGCACCUCGAUGUCGGCUCAUCGCAUCCUGGGGCUGUAGUCGGUCCCAAGGGUUGGGCUGUUCGCCCAUUAAAGCGGUACGCGAGCUGGGUUCAGAACGUCGUGAGACAGUUCGGUCCCUAUCCGUCGUGGGCGUAGGAAAUUUGAGAGGAGCUGUCCUUAGUACGAGAGGACCGGGAUGGACAUACCUCUGGUGUACCAGUUGUCGUGCCAACGGCAUAGCUGGGUAGCUAUGUAUGGACGGGAUAAGUGCUGAAAGCAUCUAAGCAUGAAGCCCCCCUCAAGAUGAGAUUUCCCAACUUCGGUUAUAAGAUCCCUCGAAGAUGACGAGGUUAAUAGGUUCGAGGUGGAAGUGUGGUGACACGUGGAGCUGACGAAUACUAAUCGAUCGAAGACUUAAUCAA